GAAUGAAAACGUGCUGCUUCAUUGGAUGUGGUGGCGCAUUCAUGACGGUGUGUCGCAUUUUAAAUUUCUGGGAGGAUUGACAGAUUGAGGGCCCUUGCUUGAUUCGGUCGAUGGUGGUGCUUGGCCGUUCUUAGUUGGUGGAGCGAUUUGUCUGGUUAAUUCCGAUAGCGAACGAAACUCUAGCUCAUUAAAGGGAUACUGAACCAAGGAAUUUAGUGUGCGUAAUAAGUGGCGCACGUUUUUUCCACGAGCCAGCAGCCGCCGGUGUGCGCGCGCACACGCAACAAAAAUGACGUCAAAGACCUCCAUUCGCGGUUAAGAUGACAAUGAAAUGUAUGGGCCUCGGGCCAAAGGAGAAUGAAGACAAGUUUUUCAUCUACACAGCGGUGUCUGGUGUAAAAGGUAAGCCAUUAAUUGGUCUAACAAGCACUAGCUUUCACUUGUAGAGAUAAAAAGCCUGUCUUUAUUCUCCUUUGGCCCGAAGCUUAUGCAAUUCACUGUCCUGUUAAAUGCGAAUGGAGGUCUUUGACGUCAUUUUCGUUCCGUGUGCUCGCGCACACCGGUGGCUGCUGGCUCGUGGAAAGAACGUGCGCCAGUUAUUAUGGGCACUAAAUUCUUUGGUUCAGUGUCCCUUUAAAUAGGUGCGUGGUUCUCUGCACCUUGCACCCUUCUUAAGCGGGUUUCACAUGCAGCGAUUUUGGCCCUAGAGCGGCGCGAUUUCUGCCGUCACGGCGCUGUGGCCAGCCGCAGCGGCUGAGCGGCACGGUUCCACCUGUUUGGAAAUUUUUCGCCACGGCAGAGCGCCAGCUUAUGUGCUGGCCACUCACAGCGCGGCGGGAAAUCACGUGACAGGAGGGGAAGCAUUGCGGGAAAGCUGGCGCAUAGGACGGCGGCGUUUUCACGUUCUUGAAGCAGACGACAAGCAGAGAAAUACGCAAACGACUGUUUUUUUUUUUCUUUUUUCUGGCGGGUCGAGUUUCUUUGCUUCAGCAGUCCCGUCGAAACUGUUCAGGAGAUUAUGGAUGAGGGGGAUUGCUGUCCCCUUCCACGGAAUUUGUUUUCUCAAUGAAUCACGGGGCUCUUUUUUGCUUUCCUCGCCUGAGUACCAACUGUAGCAAGCGCAAGAGACGCUAAUCCGAAGCGGCUUGUGCAAGCGCUUGUGAGAAAAAACAAAUAAAGAAGAAGAAGAACUGAGCGGCAUUUACGUGUCUUUUGCAACACAGAUCGUCGCACCAAGUAAGGCACAUACCCCCCUUUCGGAAAUACCAACUACUCUAACGCCGUCGAGCAGGUUCAGGUCAGCCAUAUAAUGUGGAGUCUUUACAUCCGAGGAAGGCGCUGCCCGUGACGCUGCCGAGGAUGAUCGGAGGUUUCAAGCUCCGCAACAACAAAGCUUGAAAAAAAAAAAAAAAAAAAACACAAACAAUUAAGACUAAGGUUUAUUUAGUAUUUUAAACGCUUUUUUGUUUUUGCUUUUUUGUUUUAUUAAGGUGAAAUUAAAAGGGAAACUGAAAACUAAGACAUUAAAAUACUUGUUGGAAGCCGCUGUAACCGACUGUGUACAACUGCUUGCUGCAAGCAACAUUGGCCAUCGCAGUAGCAGAAAACUCUGAUGUGAAAUGAAACCUCGCGAUCCGUGUCGCCGCACCGUUAGUGGCAGCGAUUUCGGCCGCGGAAUCGCUGCAUGUGAAAUCCGCUUUAGAGGGACAGGCGGCUCCUAGCCGCACGGAACAGAGGAAUAACAGGUCUGUGAUGCCCUUAGAUGUCCAGGGCCGCACGCGCGCUACACUGAAGGAAGCGGCGUGUUUAUAUUCCUGUCUGUUAAGACAGUAAGCUUUAAAAAAAAGUGACUUGAGCAAAUGGAGAGCUAAUUGACGUCCAUCGGAUUACCCCCGAGCAAGUAUUC
This 1906-nucleotide ribosomal RNA is filed under the name Ixodes scapularis (black-legged tick). RNAcentral describes it as "eukaryotic small subunit ribosomal RNA". It matches the Rfam family "Eukaryotic small subunit ribosomal RNA", at positions 1174 to 1613 of the family's 1831-position model. Lineage: Eukaryota; Metazoa; Arthropoda; Arachnida; Ixodida; Ixodidae. The record is from RNAcentral.